GUUUAGUGAGGCUCUUUUGGAUAAUUGGUAGCGGUUUCUUGUUUUACGUAAUAUUCAAUCAAUUCGACUAGGGGAAGUUACCAAUCAUUUGAGUUUUAUUCUCUUUAUUUGAAUGCCUGAAUUUUCCGUUUCAGCAUGUGAAUUCUGCACUUGAAAUUUGUGUCUGUUCUUUUGUGCAUUCAUGUAGUAAUUAGAGUUCUUUUCAUAUGUAACCAUUUAAGCAAUGGACUUUUUGGUUGACUACACUCCUGGGCAUUUAUUUGAAUUAUUUGCAUUCUUUUGUCAAAACUUUUGUGCCUUGUUGAUGUAUUUUUAGACAGCAAUGCUUUUGUUCACAUUUUUAAUGGUCUGCU
This 353-nucleotide unclassified non-coding RNA is filed under the name Hevea brasiliensis (rubber tree). The record is from RNAcentral. Lineage: Eukaryota; Viridiplantae; Streptophyta; Magnoliopsida; Malpighiales; Euphorbiaceae.